GUUAAUUUUUCCACAUCAUUGCCUCUCCUUUCGCAUCUGGCUCUGCGUUGACCAGCAAUUCCCAUCCAUGGCGGACUCCGCGCUCAUCGCUGCCGGUGCUCGUCCUUGGCUUCCUGUGCUUACCGGCCAACAGCGCACCUGUGCUCGUCGCCCCGGCCGCCCGCGCUCGCCGGCCUACAGAGCUCCGUCGCGCCGACGCUAGACUAGUUCCAGCAAUUAAAAAUGCCACAUGUAGCAAAUUUAUGCACCAGUUGUAGCAUUUUUCCACCUUGGUUGUAGCUCCGUUGCGCCAACGUCGUAGCCGACAGUCGACUAGUUCCAGCAAAAAAUGAUGCUGGAUGUAGCAAAAAAAAUUGCUAGUUCCAACAAAAAUCAAAGCCGGUGAGAGCAGAAUUGGAGCCGGUUCCGGCAAAACAAAAAUAUAGUGGUAACAAAAAAGAUUGUUGGUUCCAGCACAAAUCGAAGUCGGUGGUAGCAAAAUUGGGGCUAGUCCAGCACUACUGAGAUAGUAGUAGCAACACAGGUGAUAAUUCCAGCAAAAACAAAGCCAUUGUAGCAAAAAAUUGGGCUGGUUCCAGCAAAAUCUAAAGAUGGUGGUAGCAAAAUUGGGGCUGGUUGCAUAAACAAACACACUCAUUCUAGCAAAAAAAUACCACCAUCUCCGUCGCCGGUCACCGUGAGCGGUUGUUCCAGCACCUUCAACCCGUGGUUGUAGCCUUCCUCAUGGCCGGUCCCAGCAUCUGACCGUCAUCGAAUGUAGCACGCCGUGGCCGCGAACUCCCCUUGAUGUGCUCGAUGGUGGACUACCGCAGACUGAGCUCGCUCUCCUUGGAAUCCAUGGCAGACUGCUGCAUGAGAGGAGAGAUGGAGACACAAAAGCUUGAUAUGUGGGGAUUAAUGGCGGAUUCCCCGUGGGGAAGAGAGAUGAGGCAGAAAGGGAAGCGGCGAUGCCUUUGAGCGAUGUGGAUAAGGUCUGGGUGGACGAGAUGCUUCAGGCAAUGCGAUUAGGUAUGGGUGCCUGGUCCUACUAGCUUUUUGUAUCGCGAG
Molecule: ribosomal RNA, 1047 nt
Filed under: Triticum aestivum (bread wheat)
Lineage: Eukaryota; Viridiplantae; Streptophyta; Magnoliopsida; Poales; Poaceae
Description: partial small subunit ribosomal RNA
Source: RNAcentral